Cyanistes caeruleus (blue tit) is the source of this 1934-nucleotide non-coding RNA. The record is from RefSeq and is a predicted model, not a curated record. Lineage: Eukaryota; Metazoa; Chordata; Aves; Passeriformes; Paridae.
GCCGCGGCUGCGCUGCGCCUCCGGCUCGGAAGGGCGGCCUGACGGGCUCGCCUUGUGCCACACACAGAGCAGGACAGGCCCUGCACGGAAUAAGGUACUUGGCCUGAUCCUUUUUCAGCCCCUCUAGUUACAGUUUGAGUCCCCAGAAUCUUGAGGAUGCUGCAUUGCAGUGUCGGUGCUUUCCUUCACUGAGGAUGGAGAUUCAAAUAUACUCUUGUGGCCAUUUUUUGGCAAUUGGACAGCAAUAAAUCUGGAUAUUCAUAUGUCAUACUGUGAAUUCUUAAUAUUUCAGUACAAAGCUGUUCUGUACCUUGCAUAUAGUGUAGCCCACACAAAUGGGCAUGAUUUUUGUUCAGCCCAUGACUUCCCCUAGAGCACACCAGAUUAGAUCGGGACUGGUGUCAUCCACAUUUGCUGCAUACAGAGCUGGCUGCAUUGUACUGGCUUCAUGGAUGGUGGCUUUCCUGGCCGGUCCAGAUGGAUACACCAGAGUUUGUGUUUUCAUUCAGUGUUUAUUUGUUUUUAUCAGUUGCAGUAACAAGUGCAGGUGCCAGUAUAGUCUGAAGCAGGAGGUUUUCCCACAUAGUUGAAGUACCUUCAAGAGUCAAUGGGCAAGUCCAUGGAGGCAAAAUUCAUUACAGAUUACCACACACAUAGGAACUACCUCUGGCUCAGGGAGUUCCUAACUAGAUACUGGGAGAUAUUUCUACUAGUCAGGCCAUUGUUGAAAACCAAUGUAAGAUGACACCUCUGCCUGAGUCUGUGCAGUCAGAUAUUUGCAAUUUAUUGUUAAAGUGUUAUUUUUAAGCUCGAGUAUAAAAUUGUUCAUCAUUGAAUUGAUCUUGACAUUGAGGCUGAGCUACAAAAGUAUGAAUGCAUAGCUGUCUGUAAUCUGACCAUGUCCUUUUUUACAGAGAUAAAAUAUUUCCAAAGUUGUUGAGAUAGGAGACAACUAUCUUAGAAGACACUGUGGUAGAGUACUUAAAUUGAACUGAAAGGCACACUUUAAGACCAUUUUUAGUACAAGCAUUGCGACCAGGGCCUGCCGUUUUGCUUUGCCUGCUUCUGCUUCCCUUGCCACGCGGGAGCUCAGAGCCAGCGCGUGUGGUGCCAAAACCCAGGACCGAGAGAGCCUCCCGCCGGAGCCCCUUGCCCUCUGCGGCUGCUCCUGUGUGUUAGUUAGGCUCCGAGACUCCCAUUCACCGCUGUCUCUCCACUGCAAGCCUGCUCAGCUUCUCCCUACUUCCCAGCCGUUUGAGGGUCCAGAGCCCAUGUGUCGGGUGCCAUGGGGACUGGGAGAGGGUCAUAUUUUCUAUUUAAGGGAGGCUCCCGCCUUCCUAGGCAGACACCCAUCUUUUAAACCAGGACUUGCUUAAAACAUUUUCACGAAGAAAAACAUAAUUAGCUUUGGUGUGAUUUUGUUUUCUGAAAUACAUGAUUUGAUAUGUAUCACUUGAUGCCAACAUAUUUGCUACCCAGGGAAAACCAGUGAUUGUUACCCUAUCUCAUUUGUUUUCCCUUGACACAUUUUCAAAUAAGCAUUACCUUUAAAAUCAAAUAAGUCUUACUAACUUUGUUGUUGGUUAAUUUAAUGCAUUCUUUAACACAUUUGAAUAGUGUGCUGUUUUUAAAAUUCUGCAGGUAGGUUAUCAGUGCAUUGUGUAAAAAUUAAUAGAGUACUUUUCCACUGCUAUCUACCAUCUCUAUUUUCAUGUAAAAAAUUUAUUGUGAAACCUUCACUAAUUGUUUACAAAUAUUGCUGCAAAACACAAUAAUGUCUUUUUAAUUGUAACAUUAGAGAAGCACCUUAAGGGAAUGUGCCUCAAUGUUUCCAUGCACUUGAAGAUGGCAAUAUUUGAAAUAAUUCCCUCUAAAACUCUAGCUGAAACUGUUUUCAGAUUAAAGGUUUUUGCAAUAAACUUCUCAAGAUCAAA